RNAcentral lists this ribosomal RNA (208 nucleotides) under Xylella fastidiosa subsp. multiplex. Its description in RNAcentral is "partial 16S ribosomal RNA". It matches the Rfam family "Bacterial small subunit ribosomal RNA", at positions 1 to 238 of the family's 1533-position model. Lineage: Bacteria; Pseudomonadati; Pseudomonadota; Gammaproteobacteria; Lysobacterales; Lysobacteraceae. The record is from RNAcentral.
UCAACUUGAGAGUUUGAUCCUGGCUCAGAACGAACGCUGGCGGCAGGCUUAACACAUGCAAGUCGAACGCCCCGCAAGGGGAGUGGCAGACGGGUGAGUAACGCGUGGGAACAUACCCUUUCCUGCGGAAUAGCUCCGGGAAACUGGAAUUAAUACCGCAUACGCCCUACGGGGGAAAGAUUUAUCGGGGAAGGAUUGGCCCGCGUUG